UGGCCCUGGGGACUCCCUUCCCUUUGUUUCUCCACAGGGAAGAGGAGGGGCUAGAGGUGCUGAAGGAGCAGAAUUGGGAGCUGCCUCUGCAGGAUGAACCUCUGUACCAGACCUACCGAGCAGCGGUGCUGUCAGAGGAGCUGUGGGGGGUCGGUGAGGAUGGGAGUCCUUCUCCAGCAAAUGCUGGAGAUGCACCCACCUUCCCACGACCCCCUGGACCUCGCAACACCCUGUGGCAGGAGCUUCCGACUGUGCAAGCCAGCGGCCUUCUGGAUACCCUCAGCCCCCAGGAGAGGCGUAUGCAGGAGAGUCUUUUCGAGGUGGUGACGUCCGAGGCUUCCUACCUGCGCUCCCUGCGGCUGCUGACCGACACCUUCGUGCUGAGCCAGGCACUCCGGGACACGCUCACCCCCCGUGAUCACCACACACUCUUCUCCAAUGUGCAGCGAGUCCAGGGAGUCAGCGAGCG
RNAcentral lists this small RNA (469 nucleotides) under Pongo abelii (Sumatran orangutan). RNAcentral describes it as "retained intron". Lineage: Eukaryota; Metazoa; Chordata; Mammalia; Primates; Hominidae. The record is from RNAcentral.